UACGUAGGGUGCAAGCGUUGUCCGGAAUUAUUGGGCGUAAAGAGCUCGUAGGCGGUUUGUCGCGUCUGCUGUGAAAACUCGGGGCUUAACUCCGGGCCUGCAGUGGGUACGGGCAGACUAGAGUGCGGUAGGGGAGACUGGAAUUCCUGGUGUAGCGGUGAAAUGCGCAGAUAUCAGGAGGAACACCGGUGGCGAAGGCGGGUCUCUGGGCCGUAACUGACGCUGAGGCGCGAAAGCUAGGGGAGCGAACGGG
This 253-nucleotide ribosomal RNA is filed under the name uncultured bacterium. Its description in RNAcentral is "partial 16S ribosomal RNA". It matches the Rfam family "Bacterial small subunit ribosomal RNA", at positions 524 to 776 of the family's 1533-position model. The record is from RNAcentral.